GACACGGUUGCUGCAGCUCAAGUCCCCGAUCCGACAUGCGGUGACACGCCCAGACUCACUAUCUGGCGGACUGUAAAUCCGUCGGCUUACGCCUACGCAGGUUCGAAUCCUGCACCUGCCA
Molecule: transfer RNA, 121 nt
Filed under: Mycobacterium manitobense
Lineage: Bacteria; Bacillati; Actinomycetota; Actinomycetes; Mycobacteriales; Mycobacteriaceae
Description: [Mycobacterium] manitobense tRNA-OTHER
Source: RNAcentral